UGGUGCGGUCAUACUAGCGCUAAUGCACCAGAUCCCAUCAAAACUCCGUAGUUAAGCGCACUUGGGCCAUAACAAUAUUGGGAUAGGUGACCUCCCGGGAAGUCCUGGUGUCGCACCCCC
RNAcentral lists this ribosomal RNA (120 nucleotides) under Equisetum hyemale (Dutch rush). Lineage: Eukaryota; Viridiplantae; Streptophyta; Polypodiopsida; Equisetales; Equisetaceae. The record is from RNAcentral.